CUUCCCCGCACCCUCCCUCCCCCGAACUCCCACCCCCAGUGUCCCGUCAGAGCCGGCAGCGCCAAUUCACGGGGCGACGGCAUCGUCAUCCCGCUACAGCUCCUGAGGACGGAGACGGUGGCGGCGGCGGGGAGCUUCGGGGGACGCGGGGAGCCUGCGGCCAUCCAGGGGCGGGAAGGAAGGAGCGCGCAUCCGGCCUACCGGCCUCCGGCCUCGGAAGCUCCGUCCCAGGGUGGGCAGCGAGACCAGAUGGGCCCGAGAAAGGCGCCAGUCUUCCAAGGCCAAGAGCUCCAGCUAAGUGCGAAGGAGUUGGGUUUUCCAUCCAAACGCACUUCGUGAUUCACAGGAUCUUUUUAACACUUCUCCUCCUAAGAAAGAAGAUUUGGAUGAGCUGGUUCAAAAUAUAGCCCCAGGAUUAAAAAGGUGAUGGCUCUUAAGGAGCUCAGCCUUCUCUUCCUGGUGAUCCAUCUGUACACAUGGAUUCUCACUACUGCUUCUGAUGCUCAGAGACUUAGCAAUCUUUUCUAUAUGGACCUCAACUUUGAGUUGGACACUCACAGCCACCACUACAAUGUUUCCUUGAACAGACACCUCUACUGAGACCUCCUCUGCUGUGACUUCUGGGGCCAUUUUUGGAAGUUAGAAGCCAGAAACCAACUUUUCCAAUUCAAAAAUGCUGUACAAGAAUUCAAGAUCAUGAUGUCACAAAAGGAUGAAGAAAGCUGGCUUUCAGAUUCAAAACUGAGAAGAGACCCCUUUUAUCUAGUUGAAUUUUUCUUUCCAAGAAGUAAUGAAUGUCACUGAUUCAAUGUGUACUGAGCCACGGGGCAAAGAGUUUAUGAAGAAUUAAAUAUUCAUUGGUUUCACUGGCCAAAAGUACUAUCUUCAUUAGAGUUAUCAAAGUAUAUUGAAUCAGAAAAUUUGAGUUCUGGUCACCACUUGUCUAUUGAUAUACUUUGUGACCUCCAUAAUAAAAAAAUUAAUAACAGCAUUAUUGGUUCUAUUUUGAUCCAGUGAAACUAGGCUAUCAGUAAUAAUAGGUCUUUUAUUUUUUGGCACUCCUAUUCUAUUCCCCCAAUAAUUAUCUUACAUCUCUAUCAUUUCCCUCCAAUCUCUGACCACAACCUUCUUAUAUGAGAAAACAUAAAUUCUUAUCGUUUAAACUGCUAUUGUGCUUUAUGACAUCUGCUAUCACUUUCCUAAAUGAUACAGGUGGGUACACUUGCAGGUACAUUUGUUGAUCUGGCAAGAAGUUAGAGAGUUUCCAAUGGCUUCUACUUUCUCUUUAAAGUAGUAGAUGGUGUUAUCUUCUGAGUUUGAGGGAGCAGACUCUAAGGAAGAACAUCUAAGAAUAACAAAAAUGAUGUUACAUUUCUUUGUAGAGGCAAGGAGAAAGAAAUCAUUGAGUAGAUAUUGGAAGGAUCCUGGAUACUGUGGAGGUCAACAGGAUGUUAUAAGCAAUGGAUUUCUUUAUAGUAGAAUCAAGCUGGGAAUUAUUUUGUUUGACUUGAUAACAUAUAGGACCAGAGAAGGUAGGUGAUUGGAUUGAUCUAGGUGUGUAUUUUGCAGGAAGGAUUUGAGAGAAGGAUGCCCUGGCACAGUCAUUGAAGAGAUUGGCAAGAAACAAGAAAAAGUAGUAUACUGUGGAAUCAGCCAGAAUUAGGAAGGAUUGGAGGAAGGGAGAUGGCUGCUCAGCUCAUUCUUCUGCUAAUAUCCCUGAAAUGGGGCUCUGAGAAACGUUAUAUCCUCGACAUGCCUACACUGGAAUGAUCUAACCCCUGACUAUUUCCAGCCUCCUCUGUGUCACUCUUCCUCUUGUUCUCUACAUUCAAGCAAUGCACAGAGGGGACUGGAAGAAAGCCAAAUAUGUAGUUUUGAUGAAUUCUGUUUGUGUUAUUUUUCCACUUGCAUCCUUCUUGGCCUGGUUUCAAAAAAAGAGUUGUUUUUUUUUCCCCCAUAGACACAUUUUCACUAGCAUGCUCUCCUUUUAUCUUUUAUCUUUAAACCAUACUGUUAAUUUUCCUUAUUUGAUUUUUUUUCCUUCUUUGAUUUCUUUUCCAUGAAGCCUAAUUGGUCUCCCUAUCUCCAUUCUCUUACCUCUCUAAUUCUUUUUCAUAGUGAUGUUUAGAUUACCUUCCUAUUACACAGAGCAAAACACAUUCUUCUGCUGUUCUGCAAGCUUAUAUAAAAUAGUACAAGCUCCCAAUGGCAGGAAGUUCUCCACUAUCUAGCCUCGGCUUUACUUUCCAGACUCCUUUCUUCUACUACUUGCCCUCAGCACACUAUGUUCUACCACUCUGGCCUCUUCAUAAUUCCUUAUAUCACGAAAAUUCAAAUGUUGUUGCUCUUGUUCAUGUAAUUUAUUCACUUCUCACCUCCACUUUUUAGUGCCCUAUUCAUUCUUUGGUAAGUUGUGUAGCUGUCCAUUUCCCCAUUAAACUUAAAAGUCUCUUUGGGCUGAGAGUUUAUCUUGGUCACUAGAAUAGCAGUUUAGCUUCUACUUCAGUGGUAAGUAACUACCUCAUUGACUAGAGCAGUAGAUGGAAUGGAAGGGCAUUUUGCCAUAGUUUAGGGAGCCCCUGACUAGCAAGUUAUAACAAAUAAAGGAAAUUAGUAUUUAAUAUAUAUUUUUAAUAAAAGACCCAUUAAUAACAUAUAUGUCUUUCUCAUCAUUUGACAAAUUUUCCAUUUGCAUAGCAAUCUAUUUUUUAAAAAAAUCAUUCAUCCACUCAUUCAAAGACCACCCAAUUUAACUUCCUUGGUUUAAAAAUAAGGAAACUGAGUCACAGGAGGUUGAAAUUAUUUGAUAUGGGUCACACAUCUUGUACAUGGCAAAAGAAAUGAAUAGUACCUAGUCCUGGGUUUGGUUCCUAACCCAAGCUUCCAAAAUUUAAUACAAAAUUCUUAAAAAUUUGAGAAUGUGAUAAACAGAUUGAUGGUACUCUAGAAAACUAUGAGGAAAAAGAUCUUGAUUACCAAAUUCCAAAAAUUUCAUAUAUGAAAGAAGUUCUGCUCUACUUCAGGCUCUCAUUACUUUAUAGAUGAUUUUAUAAAACCUUUCAAACUUGUUUCAUUGCUUUCAGUUUUCUCCUUGCAAAUUCAUGUCACAUAUCUCCAUCAGAUCACAUUCCAGCUCACAACCCUAAAAUGAAAGUUUCAUUUCAUCAUCCACCUAUUUUCAUGUCCUACCAGAAAUGGGAACUUCAAAAAUUCUCUAUUUUGGUAUCUUCCAGCUAGGAGAAAAUAGGAAGGAGCAAAUCAAUCCUAAUCACCCAGAUUUAAUUAUCUCCAACCAUAAAUAGUGAUUUAACAGCAAGAAAGAAAGAAGGAAGAUAAUUAGGACAAGAGUCUCUGAGGGAGGGAAAAUGGAGAAGCAGCAUGCCGAGUGCAUGAAGGGAAGAAAUCUACACAUAUAUUAUUGAUCAAGGGGCAAAAUUUUGAAUUGAUUGGUUAUACUUUUCCCAAAGUAACAGACAGUGAAGGUUAGAAGGAAGUGAAAUUGCUGUUGGGAAAAAAUGGGUGAAUACAAGAAUAGAAAACUUAAACAAAAAGUGACGACAUUGAAGAAUGGAACUCAACAAAAUUCUCUAUUACUUUAUCUAAAGGAAACAAAGAACUGGAGAUUCGUGAUGAUUGCAAAGAAUAAUCCAAAGCCCAACAGCAUUUCUUGGUGUGAUGGAAGACAUCCACAAUGCCAACAGACAGACAGCAUUUAGACAGAGAUAUUUAUUAAAAUCUCAGGAGUGUAGAGUGCAGUCCUCCAACCAAGAACUGUGCACUGCCUCUGUCAAGCUCCUUCCUCUUCCUUAAACCUGGAGUAUUAGAACAGCAGGUGGAGUUCACCCACACUUUAGCAGAGCAAAUAGAAGGUCUAGACAAAGCUGCUGUAUAGAAACAAAGAUGAAAGAAAAGGGCACAGUACUUUACAAGAUUGGCAAAAUAAAUAAAUAUGAAAAAGUUUCAAUAUGCAUAAUCGGGUAUCUCUUUGUAAAAUUAGAAUCACAUAUCACUUUUUUGUUCAUCUUUGGGGACUCCAGUAAAAAGUCUAUUAUUUGUCUCCCUUCUCUUUCCAUAAUUAUUAGUACCUGGAUAUUUCUGACUUCCCUAAGGCAGAGACUUAUUUUCUCAGCAGUGCCUAGAAUGGCACUUUUUUCAUUGAAGACAGCUCAUAAACACUAGGGAAAUUGAUUUUUGUUUUUAUUUUUUUUAAACUUAAAAUCAGUUUAUUAACUUUUGAGUUUGAUAUUUAAGUUAUUGUACAAACCAUUGGCCUCAUAAGUCAAAAUCUAAGAUCCAUGUUAAAAUCUUGUGUAUUUUUGCCUUAAAGAGAAAUAAUUCAAAAUAGUAAAUGUCUGAUUUUAUAAAGAAAAAAGAGAUUUCUGAAAGUAUAAGAAACUAGAUGCUCUCCCUUUACUGGCUAGAGCCCUUGGGAAGAAAGUAAACUGUGAAGACUCAAACUGUAGCCUACCCCAUCCUAUCACAGCCGUGUGCACGUCUUACCCACAGGAGCCACCCUUUCCAGAAGCAGCGUUUUUGGUCAGAUGGUGGUUCUGAAACUUAAUGGGGCAAGGUAAGAUGGGUCAGGCUGAAGCCAGGAGCUAGAAGUUUCAUCCAGGUAUCCCACACAAGUGCAGGGGCCCAAGCACUUGGACCACCUUUCAGUGCCAUUAGCAGGGAGCUGGAUCCACAGUGGAGCAGCCAGGACUCAAACUGGUACCUAUAUGGAAUGUCAACAUCAUAGGAGGCAGCUUAACUUGCUGCACAGCAACACUGGCCCCAGGAAAUUUAAUUCUAAGGAGAGAUGCUUCCUUUGCACAUAGUAUCCACUCUUUUUUUUUUUUUUAAGAUUAAUUUAUUUGUUUGAAAGGCAGAUAGUUAUAGAGAGUCAGAGGCAGGGAGAGAGAGAGAGAGAGAGAGAGAGAGAUGCAUGUCUUCCACCACUGGUUCACUCCCCAAAUGGCCACAAUGGCCACAGCUGGGUCG
This is a non-coding RNA of Oryctolagus cuniculus (rabbit), 4983 nucleotides long. NCBI's taxonomy places the organism in Eukaryota, Metazoa, Chordata, Mammalia, Lagomorpha, Leporidae. The record is from RefSeq and is a predicted model, not a curated record.